Molecule: unclassified non-coding RNA, 1393 nt
Filed under: Hevea brasiliensis (rubber tree)
Lineage: Eukaryota; Viridiplantae; Streptophyta; Magnoliopsida; Malpighiales; Euphorbiaceae
Source: RNAcentral
GGCCAAUUGCUCAAUUAUGGGUAGACAGACACUGACUGACACCUAAGUGCAAGUGUAAAAUGCAAAGCAGUAGUUGAUUUGUUUUUCUCCAAGAACCAUAACUUUAAUGAUCAUGCUGUGGAAGCUAAAGGCUUGCAAGCCAGAAGAAGUCAACGGCCAAGGGGUAUCCUUGUAAUAAUCUCUCGUAUGGCAUGAUGACCAGCUAACCCCAUAUCCUAAUGAAUCCCUCGUAAUGCUUAUAUAUAUCGUUGUCCUUUUGCUCUGCAAACCCAAGCUUUUACUAGUGGAAUUUGGUGUGAUUAUUCCUUACCAAAAUCACCCAGAAUGGCCAAAAUUGCCUUAGGAUCUCAGCGAGAGGCCACCCAGCCCGACUGCAUCAAGGCCCUUAUCGUCGAGUUUAUUACCACCUUUUUCUUCGUCUUCGUCGGAGUCGGAGCAGCCAUGGCCGCUGAUAAACUAGUGGGAGGAUCUCUAGCGGGCUUGCUUUUCGUGGCUUUAGCACAUGCACUUGUUGUGGCUGUAAUGAUAUCCGCCGGUCAUAUCUCCGGUGGUCAUCUCAACCCAGCAGUCACUUUGGGCCUCCUCGCCGGCGGUCACAUCACCGUCUUCCGAUCCAUCCUUUACUGGAUUGACCAAUUGGUUGCAUCUUCUGCUGCUUGUCUCCUCCUAAGCUAUCUCACAGGAGGAAUGGUAAGUCUACUUAUUUGUUACUCUCUUUGACCACAGAAUCUCCUAUUUUAAUCAAAUCUUUUGAUCUUCCCUGCAUUUAUUUUGGUGUCUUGUUCUUAAUUAAGGUCAUAGUACAUGUCAUUAGCUGGUGGGUGUCUUUGUAUUCUGCAGGCCACUCCUGUGAUUACGCUGGCAAGUGGGGUAGGCUACGUUCAAGGGGUAGUGUGGGAGAUCGUACUGACCUUCUCCUUGCUGUUUACCGUCUAUGGCACUAUUGUGGACCCCAAGAAGGGAUCGAUUGAUGGGCUGGGCCCAUUGCUCACUGGGCUCGUAGUUGGGGCAAACAUCUUAGCUGGUGGAUCAUUUUCUGGUGCGGCUAUGAACCCUGCACGAUCCUUUGGGCCCGCUUUGGUGAGCUGGGACUGGACUCACCAUUGGGUUUACUGGGUAGGACCCCUAAUUGGUGGUGGGUUGGCUGGGUUCAUCUAUGAAAAUUUCUUCAUCACAAGAUCUCAUCUUCCUCUUCCCAAUGAUGAAGAAACUUACUUAAGUACUAAUUAGCAAUUGCAUCAUGUAAUGUAGUCCUUUAAUUUAGCCACUCCUUUUCAGUGUAUUAAAUUCCUGCGUGUUUCCCUGUUAUUCAAUAUCAUGCAUGUGGUACUUUGAUUGAUAUGCCACUCUUUGUUAUUAGUUUUAUCUGAAUCAUUUUUCAACAAUUUUUCAC